Molecule: transfer RNA, 74 nt
Filed under: Acidobacteriota bacterium
Lineage: Bacteria; Pseudomonadati; Acidobacteriota
Also listed under: 1 other name
Description: Acidobacteria bacterium tRNA-Lys
Rfam family: tRNA
About the family: Transfer RNA (tRNA) molecules are approximately 80 nucleotides in length. Their secondary structure includes four short double-helical elements and three loops (D, anti-codon, and T loops). Further hydrogen bonds mediate the characteristic L-shaped molecular structure. tRNAs have two regions of fundamental functional importance: the anti-codon, which is responsible for specific mRNA codon recognition, and the 3' end, to which the tRNAs corresponding amino acid is attached (by aminoacyl-tRNA synthetases). tRNAs cope with the degeneracy of the genetic code in two manners: having more than one tRNA (with a specific anti-codon) for a particular amino acid; and 'wobble' base-pairing, i.e. permitting non-standard base-pairing at the 3rd anti-codon position.
Source: RNAcentral
GGGUACCAGGGGAAACGACCCGUAACGGGCUUUUAACCCGUUGGUUGUGGGUUCGAGUCCCACGGGACCCACCA